Molecule: ribosomal RNA, 1436 nt
Filed under: uncultured organism
Description: partial small subunit ribosomal RNA
Rfam family: Bacterial small subunit ribosomal RNA
Source: RNAcentral
UUUCGGCGUGCUUAACACAUGCAAGUCGAACGGAAAGGCCCUGCUUUUGUGGGGUGCUCGAGUGGCGAACGGGUGAGUAACACGUGAGUAACCUGCCCUUGACUUUGGGAUAACUUCAGGAAACUGGGGCUAAUACCGGAUAGGAGCUCCUGCUGCAUGGUGGGGGUUGGAAAGUUUCGGCGGUUGGGGAUGGACUCGCGGCUUAUCAGCUUGUUGGUGGGGUAGUGGCUUACCAAGGCUUUGACGGGUAGCCGGCCUGAGAGGGUGACCGGCCACAUUGGGACUGAGAUACGGCCCAGACUCCUACGGGAGGCAGCAGUGGGGAAUAUUGCACAAUGGGCGGAAGCCUGAUGCAGCAACGCCGCGUGCGGGAUGACGGCCUUCGGGUUGUAAACCGCUUUCGCCUGUGACGAAGCGUGAGUGACGGUAAUGGGUAAAGAAGCACCGGCUAACUACGUGCCAGCAGCCGCGGUGAUACGUAGGGUGCGAGCGUUGUCCGGAUUUAUUGGGCGUAAAGGGCUCGUAGGUGGUUGAUCGCGUCGGAAGUGUAAUCUUGGGGCUUAACCCUGAGCGUGCUUUCGAUACGGGUUGACUUGAGGAAGGUAGGGGAGAAUGGAAUUCCUGGUGGAGCGGUGGAAUGCGCAGAUAUCAGGAGGAACACCAGUGGCGAAGGCGGUUCUCUGGGCCUUUCCUGACGCUGAGGAGCGAAAGCGUGGGGAGCGAACAGGCUUAGAUACCCUGGUAGUCCACGCUGUAAACGGUGGGUACUAGGUGUGGGGUCCAUUCCACGGGUUCCGUGCCGUAGCUAACGCUUUAAGUACCCCGCCUGGGGAGUACGGCCGCAAGGCUAAAACUCAAAGGAAUUGACGGGGCCCCGCACAAGCGGCGGAGCAUGCGGAUUAAUUCGAUGCAACGCGUAGAACCUUACCUGGGUUUGACAUGGAUCGGGAGUGCUCAGAGAUGGGUGUGCCUCUUUUGGGGUCGGUUCACAGGUGGUGCAUGGCUGUCGUCAGCUCGUGUCGUGAGAUGUUGGGUUAAGUCCCGCAACGAGCGCAACCCUUGUUCACUGUUGCCAGCACGUUAUGGUGGGGACUCAGUGGAGACCGCCGGGGUCAACUCGGAGGAAGGUGGGGAUGACGUCAAGUCAUCAUGCCCCUUAUGUCCAGGGCUUCACGCAUGCUACAAUGGCUGGUACAGAGAGUGGCGAGCCUGUGAGGGUGAGCGAAUCUCGGAAAGCCGGUCUCAGUUCGGAUUGGGGUCUGCAACUCGACCUCAUGAAGUCGGAGUCGCUAGUAAUCGCAGAUCAGCAACGCUGCGGUGAAUACGUUCCCGGGGCUUGUACACACCGCCCGUCAAGUCAUGAAAGUUGGUAACACCCGAAGCCGGUGGCCUAACCGUUGUGGGGGAGCCGUCGAAGGUGGGACUGGUGAUUAGGA